GCCCUCAUCGUCUAGUGGUUAGGACACCGGCUUCUCAAGCCGGCAGCAGGGGUUCGACUCCCCUUGAGGGUA
Non-coding RNA from Planctomycetes bacterium GWF2_41_51, 72 nucleotides. The record is from Rfam. NCBI's taxonomy places the organism in Bacteria, Pseudomonadati, Planctomycetota.